RNAcentral lists this ribosomal RNA (910 nucleotides) under uncultured bacterium. Its description in RNAcentral is "bacterial SSU rRNA". It matches the Rfam family "Bacterial small subunit ribosomal RNA", at positions 8 to 916 of the family's 1533-position model. The record is from RNAcentral.
AGAGUUUGAUCAUGGCUCAGAAUGAACGCUGGCGGCGUGCUUUACACAUGCAAGUCGAGCGAGGCGUCCCGCAAGGGAUAGUCGAGCGGCGAACGGGUGAGUAACGCGUGGAUAACCUGCCCUGAGGUGGGGGAUAACCAAGGGAAACUUUGGCUAAUACCGCAUGAUACCGAGAGGUCAAAGGGGGCUCGCAAGGGCUCUCGCCAUAGGAGGGGUCCGCGUACGAUUAGCUAGUUGGUAGGGUAAUGGCCUACCAAGGCGACGAUCGUUAGCCGGCCUGAGAGGGUGAUCGGCCACACUGGAACUGAGACACGGUCCAGACUCCUACGGGAGGCAGCAGUGGGGAAUUUUGCGCAAUGGGCUAACGCCUGACGCAGCAACGCCGCGUGGAGGAUGAAGGUCCUUGGAUUGUAAACUCCUGUCAGCAGGGAAAAAGCGAAUCGGUCUAAUACACCGGUGAGUUGAUUGUACCUGCAGAGGAAGCCCCGGCUAACUCUGUGCCAGCAGCCGCGGUAAUACAGAGGGGGCAAGCGUUAUUCGGAAUUAUUGGGCGUAAAGGGCGCGUAGGCGGCUUGGCAAGUGGAUGGUGAAAUCCCUCGGCUUAACCGAGGAACUGCCGUCCAAACUGCUUCGCUUGAGACCGGGAGAGGUGAGUGGAAUUCCCAGUGUAGCGGUGAAAUGCGUAGAUAUUGGGAGGAACACCAGUGGCGAAGGCGGCUCACUGGACCGGUACUGACGCUGAUGCGCGAAAGCGUGGGGAGCAAACGGGAUUAGAUACCCCGGUAGUCCACGCCGUAAACGAUGAGUGCUUGGUGUAGCGGGUAUCGACCCCUGCUGUGCCGAAGUCAACACAUUAAGCACUCCGCCUGGGGAGUACGGUCGCAAGGCUGAAACUCAAAGGAAUUGACGG